CAGUAAGUCUCCCGAAGUUGUAUGAAAAUAUGCAGGUAAACUGUUAACUGAUACCAGACUGGUUAAAUUAUACAGCUCGCUGAAGGCUGAGGCAGCCGUCCUAUUUUACAUGGAAGUGAUACCUGCAGCAAACAGGGGCUCUUACCCUAAGGUGACUGUCAGCUUUAAAUGCUAGGGAAAAUAAUGCAACUAUAAAAGAUGGUUUAUCACAAGUAGCUGACCCUGAGAUCUCUGGAUUGGGUGAGUUCUUUUAAAAAGAAAGUAAAAACUCAUCUUUUUAAACUUUUGGCUAACAUUUUGUUUUGAUGUUUUAGCAUUUUUAUUGUGAAGCAUUUUGUAAUAUUUAUUCUGAAAGCUCUAUAUGUAUUUACCUUUACUUUAAUCAAUGUUUCUUUAAUUAUAUUAAGAGAAAACAAAUGUUUUAUAAUUCUCAAUCAUGGUUACUUCGGGAAGCUGUGAACAUGUGGGCUAUACCAUGAUGCAUAGGUAAUUUCACUCUCUAUUAAAAUAAAGUAAAAAAAGAAGAAGAAGUAAAUAACAAAGUUUUUUAAAUCAGUCAUUCAGCAAGGUGAAUUCAGAACUUAGAAAUGUGUAACAAUUAUUUUUAACAAGAUACAGCAAGCAUGGCAUGGUAACAACAACUGUGUGUCAUCAGAAUAGAUGUACUGAUAAUCCAAGUUUAAUUCAACUUUGCAGUAUAUGAGUCUCCUAUCCUUACCUGUGACACUGCCUUAUGUGAUUUUCCACCUCAAUUCAAGUUAUUUGAGUGUUUCAUAAAACUACAACAACAAAAACAACAACAAGGCAGUCUGUUUAUUUGUAAAUGUUAUCUUAAUUAAUAAUAAAACAAAGCACACUAAAAGUGAGGGCUUGACAUUAAUUGACAUUGUUAUGGUUAUGUAAUUAAAAAAAAAAAAAACCUUAAUCUUUAGAUGCCACAGUCACAGUUGAAACAGUCGCCCAUAGUUUUUGUAUAAGCAGUAUUCACAGUCAUACUGAAAACAUUCUCCUCCUCUAAUUUAUGGUAAAUUAGAUAGCUGUGGCAACUGUAGCUGCAUUAACCAAACAGGAAACAAAGCAAACUGUGUAUCAGACAACAACGUGGUUGACGGAAAAAACCACACAUGAAAUUAUCACAAAAUCUAAGCGUCAACCCCCCACUGUUCUUGUUUGUUUCUUCUUUGUUGGACUAAGUAUUACCAAAUACACUGAUAUGUUAAAGCAUUUAGUCUGGUCUAAAGUUUUGUUUUAACUUAGGUGUAGAUAAUAUUGUUUUAUCCUUGCAUACCUGUUUCAAUCUGCAAAAAGAAGUUUUGUUUUUCAGAUUUGACUGCAUCUCCCUCUUUAUCACCACAUGAAUAUUCUUACAGUCUAUGUACCUCUGUGAACGCAGAGGCUUCAACAUCCUGACCUCAGCUAGUCCUGCUGUUUCUGCAUCACAAACACACACAUUUAUUCUUCAUUAUUUAUUAACAUUUAAUAUUUUGACAAACAGCAGAAUCUUUUUGGUAUUAUCUGCAAAUAUUUCUUCGACUUUUGGUAGGCAGAUAAGCCUUAAAACUGUCUCAUUGCUUUUCUUAGAAGAAACACUUGUGACAGGUUUCUUUUUUACAGGAUUAUAUUAAAAGAACUUUCUGUUAAAUUUUAAUGGAUGGGGUUACACUUUAUUAAAACUUUAUGUUUAUGGUAAAAAAUAUCUAUAUAUAUCUAUCUGUCUGUAAGUCAGUCAGUCAGUCAGUCAGUCAGUAAGUUCCCCUCUCUCCCCUGUGGGGUUUUUGCAGGAUAUAUCAAGCUAACACUUUCUGACUGGAGGAUAUAUUUCUAACAUUUCCUCCACACAAUAAUCUGGCUUAUCGCCUCUUAAAAAAUGUAAAACUAAGAGAUGAAAGAUAUCUUCACAACAAAUCACUGUUCAUGUUUGUAUGUUUGCAUGACUUUACAUUACAUCCAAAUGCAGUCUACUGAAAAAGACUAGAAGUUAACAACGAUUUGACUUUGUUGUGGCAAACAAUGUCCAGAACUAAAAAACAAAACAAAAAAGAACUGGAGAAAAAAGAGAGGAACACAGUAUGAGGCAACACGACAGGCAAAUUGAGGCUAUAAAGUCACAUGACGUAAUGAGGGAAGUGGAAACAGGAGGGAAAAUAAACACAGCUGAACACAACAAAGGUGAACAACAGUCAGGAAAUAAAACCAGACACAAUGCAUGGGAGACCAAUAAAAAAAGGAACUAAACAAAAACAAUUAAGAUCAGUGAACUUAACACAGGAUAAAGAGAUCAAAUAAACUCUAAUGCAAGUAGAAGCUGGAAGUAAGAGUUAAAGACUAAAAAUACUAAAGAAAACACUUCAAUAUAAAGUAGUACGUUCACUCUGUUAAAAUAAAGGAUAAGCUCAAACAUGUUAAUGUCAUCCUGGGGAAGAAUAGGUUGUUUUUGGUUUUGUAUGACUUUUUCAAUCUUUGACAGUAGAGUCAUUUAUCUUUUAUAGUGUGCUUUUAAUUUUUAUAGCUAUGAGUAUUAUUGCAUGCUUUUAUUGUGAAGUUUGUUUUUAGUUUAUGUUCCCCAGGCCCCCCACCCUGACUAAUAAUUUUCCUGACCUGGGAGAGUUCAUGCCCUGGAAUGAACCCGCCAUUAACCAAUGAGGGUGAGCCUUUCAGCCACCAAAGACCAAUAAGAGGGUCUGGCGGUAGGGAUGAAAGGUCAGUCCUGGUAGCAGCCAUGAAAACAGCAGUAAUGGACAGAAAGAAUCAACCAUGAUGAUGAUGAUGAUGAUGCUGACGACGAUGACGACGACAAUGACGACGACGUGGACACGGAGGAGACACAGGCAGAUGUUAUUGAGGGAGGUGAAGCAGAGGGACACCUUUGAGUGGAGCGUCUGGACGUGCCGGGAGAUCGUUUUGGUUUCAGCUAGUGUUGCGCUAACGGCUGCUGACAAGUGGAGAACAGUGGCAGGCAGAGUUCUGAGCUCUGUACCAACCACCGACUAAAUCUCAAUUGUCGGGCCAAGUACCGACCCAGCCAGACAAUUUUUAUAUUUUGUUCCUGUAUAUUAAUUUUUAUGCCCCCUGGCCAAGGCUGUUUUUACUUGUUUUUAUUGUAAAUAAAUUCAUUUUUUUACCUUUCUUAAAAAGCGCCUCUAUUGCUUCUUGGUUAAACACUGCUCUCCACUCAGUCACAAGGGUCUUCCUUCUUAUUGGGACUUUUCCUUCUACGUGAAAUUGAAAUCAAGACAAAUACAAAGGAGUCGGUAACAUUUUGGUUUCACUUAAUAUUUUUAAAAAGACAUCUCUAUAAAUUUGGAGUUUACCCGGGGACAAAGUUUUUAGUACCGUUCUAGUUUCUGUUUUCAUUCUGCCUGUUGUGCUAAUUUUAUUCACCAAUAACAUUUGAAAAGGUUGUGGUUACAUUCAGGGAAACAGUAUGAAGUAUGAUAUUUGAAAAAACGCAAUCAAAAAACCCAACGCUAUUUUCUGACAACAUUUUGUGAAUUCAGUCAGCUUUGACUGAAUUUACUAUAUUUAACAAACGAUUUGCUUUAUUUAAAAAAGUAAAUCACUUUACCUUCAACAUUUGUAUCUUCAAGUCCAGUAAGUUUAAGAUACAAAUGUCUGAACCUUUCACAGAAAACUAUAACAAAAAAGGCAAUCUUUAAAUUAUAAA
Oreochromis niloticus (Nile tilapia) is the source of this 3664-nucleotide long non-coding RNA. RefSeq lists it as uncharacterized. NCBI's taxonomy places the organism in Eukaryota, Metazoa, Chordata, Actinopteri, Cichliformes, Cichlidae. The transcript is spliced from 2 exons. The record is from RefSeq and is a predicted model, not a curated record.